AUUGGGGUGGCAGAGCAUGGUAAAUUGCAAAAGGUCUAAGCCCUUUCAGCCAGAGGUUCAAGUCCUCUUCCCAAUU
This 76-nucleotide transfer RNA is filed under the name Acheilognathus cf. macropterus CBM-ZF-12465. RNAcentral describes it as "tRNA-Leu". It matches the Rfam family "tRNA". From Rfam's summary of the family: Transfer RNA (tRNA) molecules are approximately 80 nucleotides in length. Their secondary structure includes four short double-helical elements and three loops (D, anti-codon, and T loops). Lineage: Eukaryota; Metazoa; Chordata; Actinopteri; Cypriniformes; Acheilognathidae. The record is from RNAcentral.